This 402-nucleotide ribosomal RNA is filed under the name uncultured bacterium. Its description in RNAcentral is "bacterial SSU rRNA". It matches the Rfam family "Bacterial small subunit ribosomal RNA", at positions 355 to 774 of the family's 1533-position model. The record is from RNAcentral.
UCGGGAAUUUUGGGCAAUGGGCGAAAGCCUGACCCAGCAUCGCUGCGUGAGGGAUGAAGUAUUUCGGUAUGUAAACCUCGAAAGAAUGGGAAGAAUAAAUGACGGUACCAUUUAUAAGCUCCGGCUAACUACGUGCCAGCAGCCGCGGUAAUACGUAGGGAGCAAGCGUUGUUCGGAUUUACUGGUCGUAAACGGCGCGUAGGCGGCGCGGUGAGUCACUUGUGAAAUCUCUGAGCUUAACUCAGAACGGCCAAGUGAUACUGCUGUGGUAGAGUGCGGUAGAGGCAACCGGAAUUCUUGGUGUAGCGGUGAAAUGCGGAGAUAUCAAGAGGAACACCUGAGGCGAAGGCGGGUUGCUGGACCGACACUGACGCUGAUGCGCGAAAGCCAGGGGAGCAAACG